UUGUCGAUUCCUGCAAUAGCAGAACGACCCGCUAACAUGUCAAAAUACUGGGUGAGCAGCGGGGUGCUUUGAGUGCGCUGUCUGGGAACCCCUGGACGAUGGGCACUUUUUGGUGCAAAUCGGCCAACAAAAUUAAUUGGGCGUGGAAUGCGCCAAGGAAAAUCAAUAGAAUUGUACGUUAGCUUCCCGUUCGCGGGCAGUGGCGUCUUUCCGAAACACAAACGACUCUCGGCAACGGAUAUCCCGGCUCUCGCAUCGAUGAAGAACGUAGCGAAAUGCGAUACUUGGUGUGAAUUGCAGAAUCCCGUGAACCAUCGAGUCUUUGAACGCAAGUUGCGCCCGAAGCCACUUAGGUUGAGGGCACGUCUGCCUGGGUGUCACGCAUUGCCUUGCCCCCUACCGCGCGCUCAUCGAGCUGUGCUGGUUCGGGGCGAAUACUGGCCUCCCGUGCAAAUUUGCGCGGCUGGCACAAAAAUGAGUCUCCGGCGACAGAUGUCGUGACAUUGGUGGUUGUAAAAAGACCCUCUUUUCAUGUUGCGCGAAUAUCUGUCACCUUAGGGAGCUUGAGGACCCUUUAGCGCCACCCUCUCGGAGCGCUCCAACUGUGACCCCA
RNAcentral lists this ribosomal RNA (613 nucleotides) under Pleurospermum uralense. RNAcentral's name for it is "eukaryotic LSU rRNA". The stretch from base 224 to 380 matches the Rfam family "5.8S ribosomal RNA". The record is from RNAcentral. Lineage: Eukaryota; Viridiplantae; Streptophyta; Magnoliopsida; Apiales; Apiaceae.